Molecule: transfer RNA, 73 nt
Filed under: Pipa carvalhoi (Carvalho's Surinam toad)
Lineage: Eukaryota; Metazoa; Chordata; Amphibia; Anura; Pipidae
Description: tRNA-Leu
Rfam family: tRNA
About the family: Transfer RNA (tRNA) molecules are approximately 80 nucleotides in length. Their secondary structure includes four short double-helical elements and three loops (D, anti-codon, and T loops). Further hydrogen bonds mediate the characteristic L-shaped molecular structure. tRNAs have two regions of fundamental functional importance: the anti-codon, which is responsible for specific mRNA codon recognition, and the 3' end, to which the tRNAs corresponding amino acid is attached (by aminoacyl-tRNA synthetases). tRNAs cope with the degeneracy of the genetic code in two manners: having more than one tRNA (with a specific anti-codon) for a particular amino acid; and 'wobble' base-pairing, i.e. permitting non-standard base-pairing at the 3rd anti-codon position.
Source: RNAcentral
GCUUUUAUAGGAGAACAGCUUAUCCAUUGGUCUUAGGAACCAAAAAUUCUUGGUGCAAGUCCAAGUAAAAGCU